CGGGAUAUGGCGCAGUUGGCUAGCGUACUUGUCUGGGGGGCAAGUGGUCGUCGGUUCAAGUCCGACUAUCCCGA
This 74-nucleotide transfer RNA is filed under the name Spirochaetota bacterium. RNAcentral's name for it is "Spirochaetes bacterium (groundwater metagenome) tRNA-Pro". It matches the Rfam family "tRNA". From Rfam's summary of the family: Transfer RNA (tRNA) molecules are approximately 80 nucleotides in length. The record is from RNAcentral. Lineage: Bacteria; Pseudomonadati; Spirochaetota.